GUGAACGCUGGCGGUAGGCCUAACACCUGCAAGUCGAACGGCAGCACAGUAAGAGCUUGCUCUUACGGGUGGCGAGUGGCGGACGGGUGAGGAAUACAUCGGAAUCUACUUUUUCGUGGGGGAUAACGUAGGGAAACUUACGCUAAUACCGCAUACGACCUACGGGUGAAAGCAGGGGAUCUUCGGACCUUGCGCGAUUGAAUGAGCCGAUGUCGGAUUAGCUAGUUGGCGGGGUAAAGGCCCACCAAGGCGACGAUCCGUAGCUGGUCUGAGAGGAUGAUCAGCCACACUGGAACUGAGACACGGUCCAGACUCCUACGGGAGGCAGCAGUGGGGAAUAUUGGACAAUGGGCGCAAGCCUGAUCCAGCCAUACCGCGUGGGUGAAGAAGGCCUUCGGGUUGUAAAGCCCUUUUGUUGGGAAAGAAAAGCAGCAGGUUAAUACCCCGCUGUUCCGACGGUACCCAAAGAAUAAGCACCGGCUAACUUCGUG
Molecule: ribosomal RNA, 491 nt
Filed under: uncultured bacterium
Lineage: Bacteria
Description: partial 16S ribosomal RNA
Rfam family: Bacterial small subunit ribosomal RNA
Source: RNAcentral